GAUGAACGCUGGCGGCGUGCCUAAUACAUGCAAGUCGAGCGAACAGAUGAGGAGCUUGCUCCUCUGACGUUAGCGGCGGACGGGUGAGUAACACGUGGAUAACCUACCUAUAAGACUGGGAUAACUUCGGGAAACCGGAGCUAAUACCGGAUAAUAUAUUGAACCGCAUGGUUCAAUAGUGAAAGACGGUUUUGCUGUCACUUAUAGAUGGAUCCGCGCCGCAUUAGCUAGUUGGCAAGGUAACGGCUUACCAAGGCAACGAUGCGUAGCCGACCUGAGAGGGUGAUCGGCCACACUGGAACUGAGACACGGUCCAGACUCCUACGGGAGGCAGCAGUAGGGAAUCUUCCGCAAUGGGCGAAAGCCUGACGGAGCAACGCCGCGUGAGUGAUGAAGGUCUUCGGAUCGUAAAACUCUGUUAUUGGGGAAGAACAAAUGUGUAAGUAACUGUGCACGUCUUGACGGUACCUAAUCAGAAAGCCACGGCUAACUACGUG
This 497-nucleotide ribosomal RNA is filed under the name uncultured bacterium. Its description in RNAcentral is "partial 16S ribosomal RNA". It matches the Rfam family "Bacterial small subunit ribosomal RNA", at positions 28 to 507 of the family's 1533-position model. The record is from RNAcentral.